RNAcentral lists this transfer RNA (70 nucleotides) under Conocephalus maculatus (maculated rice katydid). RNAcentral describes it as "tRNA-Val". It matches the Rfam family "tRNA". From Rfam's summary of the family: Transfer RNA (tRNA) molecules are approximately 80 nucleotides in length. Their secondary structure includes four short double-helical elements and three loops (D, anti-codon, and T loops). Lineage: Eukaryota; Metazoa; Arthropoda; Insecta; Orthoptera; Tettigoniidae. The record is from RNAcentral.
CAAAACAAAGCUUUAAAGUAAGCAUUUCAUUUACACUGAAAAGAUGUUCGUGCAAUUCGAAUUGUUUUGA